This 295-nucleotide long non-coding RNA is filed under the name Eucalyptus grandis. Its description in RNAcentral is "long non-coding RNA (EGRA_LNC002055)". Lineage: Eukaryota; Viridiplantae; Streptophyta; Magnoliopsida; Myrtales; Myrtaceae. The record is from RNAcentral.
GAAGAAUCCACCGAAGCAACACAAAGCUAAAGUGUUGCCCAGUCCCAAAGAGCUGAAGGUUUGGUGAUAAAGUGCAACAUUGCCAUCAUCUAUGGAAGGAGAGACUUCCCUAAGAAAAACUCUUGAAUCAAAGAUGCCUCUAUGGAAAGAAAUAAUGACAAUACCUCUUGUCUCACCUCUCAAGCUAGAUGCUCCCUCUGCUUUAAUUCCUAUUCCAUCUGAUGAUCUACUCAAAGGACUUGUCGUAUUGAUAAAAGUUCACGAGACAACAGUAGCUCAACUCAUGAAAUCAAAU